UCAAAAUCGAGUAAUGAUAUUUAAUGUCAAAACUCGAUACAGUAUACGCGUCUUUGAAAAUUUGACGCCGAUGAUUGCAUCAAAUUCGAGUUUUAAAGUGGCUCACGGAGGUGACGAAAAAGUGUGUUACGACUUUCUCCGUUCUUGACCAACGGUUUUUCGAUCCAUCGUGGUGCACGAUAGGAGGUCAACGGAUGAACUCCGGUCGCUGGAUAGCGAGAUAUCUACACCUCGUAUCGAUACAGUUACCCGCUUUAACACAUUCAAUAUCCGUCAAAUUUCCAGAAGCGAGUGCUGAGAAUGCACUCGCGGAAAGGAAUGCACGGAGGAUCACGUUUGUUCUUAAGUGACGUCAACGCUACAUUCUCUUCUCCAAUAACUCAGAAACACACUUUCUCCGGUGUUACGGUGUAACGCACGAAUAGAGAUCCACAAUUAUCGCACGAAACGCGCAAUAAGUAUACGUGACUUCCAAUAUCAUGAAUGGAUUAGAAUUCCCGAUUUCGCAAACCAAGCAUGUACACAUAGUAGUUCUCGCAAUUACGAGUGUAGAAUUGUGUCAUCAUUUAAACAACCUUCGUUGGUUGCAUCACGUUACUUUAUUACAAACCGUGCAAUAAUUAUCACACGAUUCGUUAUACCGUUUAAAGAUAAAAAAAUAUGGCGCUUCGAUAAAUUGUAUCGUUUGUUUCUGUAAGUUAGGCUAAUGUAAACCAUACAGUCUUUCAGUUUGUAUUAGGUAAACCGUAGCGCUCAAUCGUUAUUCUAAUGUUAUACAAUAUGCAGUCGCUAUGUUUGGAGUAAAUAAUGGAUACUUUUACAAAGACUGCAACAAGACCUUCGAUGAAAACGUCUUUAAAGAAUGACUGAUUCAUCGUUCGGUAGAUAUAGUAGGUCGUGUCGAAAUAAGUCUACGACAUACUUUACGUAUAGCUUUUUCCAUACCGUUGCUCGUUUAAAAAAUCGCUAUGUAUCCGUUAUAAAUCCAAUGUAAGAAACUGCCGAUCAAAUGCAUCCCUACUACAUCAUACAACAAGAGCGCGUAAUUCAAUUUUCUUUUUUUGUGUCCAAACCAAACGCAUGUUUAUUUCGCAUUUUCAUCGAUCACGUCGAGUAUAAAAAUUGAGUGCUUGGUAGAAAUUAUAGACUCGCGAUGCUUAAAAAGCCUUCUACCGUGUACAGUAGUUUUUGCAUUAAAAAAACAUUCGUGUGUUAUUCUUAUUAUAUCCUGCACAUUGUUACCUUAAAU
Molecule: long non-coding RNA, 1249 nt
Organism: Bombus pascuorum
Lineage: Eukaryota; Metazoa; Arthropoda; Insecta; Hymenoptera; Apidae
Exons: 3
Source: RefSeq, a predicted model, not a curated record